AGCAGCCGCGGUAAUUCCAGCUCCAAUAGCGUAUAUUAAAGUUGUUGCAGUUAAAAAGCUCGUAGUUGAAUUUUAGACUUGGCCGGGCGGUCCGUCUUUGGCGAGUACUGUUCUGUUGUCGGGUCUUCCUUCUGGUGAACCAGUAUGUCCUUAAUUGGGUGUGUUGGGGAGCCAGGACCAUUACCUUGAAAAAUUAGAGUGUUUAAAGCGGGCUAUUGCUUGAAUAGAUUAGCAUGGAAUAAUAGAAUAGGACGUUGUGGUUCUAUUUUGUUGGUUUCUAGGACCACCGUAAUGAUUAAUAGGGAUAGUUGGGGGCAUUAGUAUUCAAUUGUCAGAGGUGAAAUUCUUGGAUUUAUUGAAGACUAACUAUUGCGAAAGCAUUUGCCAAGGAUGUUUUCAUUAAUCAAGAACGAAAGUUAGGGGAUCGAAGACGAUCAGAUACCGUCGUAGUCUUAA
Molecule: ribosomal RNA, 456 nt
Filed under: uncultured Archaeospora
Lineage: Eukaryota; Fungi; Glomeromycota; Glomeromycetes; Archaeosporales; Archaeosporaceae
Description: SSU rRNA
Rfam family: Eukaryotic small subunit ribosomal RNA
Source: RNAcentral